This 253-nucleotide ribosomal RNA is filed under the name uncultured bacterium. RNAcentral describes it as "partial 16S ribosomal RNA". It matches the Rfam family "Bacterial small subunit ribosomal RNA", at positions 524 to 776 of the family's 1533-position model. The record is from RNAcentral.
UACAGAGGGUGCGAGCGUUGUCCGGAAUCACUGGGCGUAAAGGGCGCGUAGGCGGUCUGAUAAGUAGGGGGUGAAAUUCUGCGGCUUAACCGCAGAGCUGCCUUCUAAACUGUCAGGCUUGAGCACGGUAGAGGCUGGUGGAAUUCCCGGUGUAGCGGUGGAAUGCGUAGAGAUCGGGAAGAACAUCGGUGGCGAAGGCGGCCAGCUGGGCCGUUGCUGACGCUGAGGCGCGAAAGCGUGGGGAGCAAACAGG